This 53-nucleotide non-coding RNA is filed under the name Trypanosoma brucei brucei. Lineage: Eukaryota; Euglenozoa; Kinetoplastea; Trypanosomatida; Trypanosomatidae. The record is from RNAcentral.
AUAUUUAUUAAAGUGUAUAUAGUGAUUUAGUUAGACUGUGAGAUAGUAUUAAU